AUUGAACGCUAGCGGGAUGCUUUACACAUGCAAGUCGAACGAGUGGCGGACGGGUGAGUAAUGUAUGGGGAUCUGCCCGAUAGAGGGGGAUCACUACUGGAAACGGAGCUAAUACCGCAUACUAUCGGAUGAACCCAUAUGGGAUGAGCUAGUAGGUGAGGUAAUGGCUCACCUAGGCGACGACCCCUAGCUGGUCUGAGAGGAGGAUGAGCCACACUGGAACGGAGACACGGCCCAGACUCCUACGGGAGGCAGCAGUGGGGAAUUUUGGACAAUGGGGGAAACCCUGAUCCAGACAUCCCGCGUGUAUGAUGAAGGCCUUCGGGUUGUAAAGUACGUUAGGCAGAGAAGCGGUAUCUGCAGAAUAAGCACCGGCUAACUACGUGCCAGCCGGCGCGGUAAUUC
RNAcentral lists this ribosomal RNA (405 nucleotides) under uncultured bacterium. RNAcentral's name for it is "partial 16S ribosomal RNA". It matches the Rfam family "Bacterial small subunit ribosomal RNA", at positions 30 to 526 of the family's 1533-position model. The record is from RNAcentral.